GAGUUUGAUCCUGGCUCAGGAUGAACGCUGGCGGCGUGCCUAACACAUGCAAGUCGAACGGGUGCGCGGGGCGGAAGAUUUCGGUUGGAAGCCCGGCGCAUGAGUGGCGGACGGGUGAGUAACGCGUGGGCAACCUGCCCUGUACAGGGGGAUAACACCUGGAAACAGGUGCUAAUACCGCAUAACGGGGGCGGCCGCAUGGCCGCCUCCUGAAAACUCCGGUGGUACAGGAUGGGCCCGCGUCUGAUUAGCCAGUUGGCAGGGUAGCGGCCUACCAAAGCGACGAUCAGUAGCCGGCCUGAGAGGGCGGACGGCCACACUGGGACUGAGACACGGCCCAGACUCCUACGGGAGGCAGCAGUGGGGGAUAUUGCACAAUGGGGGGAACCCUAAUGCAGCGACGCCGCGUGGGUGAAGAAGCGCCCCGGCGCGUAAAGCCCUGUCAGCAGGGAAGAAGAAGGACGGUACCUGACCAAGAAGCCCCGGCUAACUACGUGCCAGCAGCCGCGGUAAUACGUAGGGGGCAAGCGUUAUCCGGAUUUACUGGGUGUAAAGGGGGCGCAGACGGCGAUGCCAGCCAGGAGUGAAAGCCCGGGGCCCAACCCCGGGACUGCUCUUGGAACUGCGUGGCUGGAGU
Molecule: ribosomal RNA, 637 nt
Filed under: uncultured bacterium
Lineage: Bacteria
Description: bacterial SSU rRNA
Rfam family: Bacterial small subunit ribosomal RNA
Source: RNAcentral